This is a long non-coding RNA of Poecilia latipinna (sailfin molly), 99 nucleotides long. RefSeq lists it as uncharacterized. Lineage: Eukaryota; Metazoa; Chordata; Actinopteri; Cyprinodontiformes; Poeciliidae. The transcript has 3 exons. The record is from RefSeq and is a predicted model, not a curated record.
GACACCCCAUGCUACACCUGCUUGGCUAGCUUUAGCUGCUAACAAAAAUAAUAAACUAAGGGUGCUCACGUCCAGUCCUCGAGAGCCACCGGUGUUACG